Molecule: ribosomal RNA, 758 nt
Filed under: uncultured bacterium
Lineage: Bacteria
Description: bacterial SSU rRNA
Rfam family: Bacterial small subunit ribosomal RNA
Source: RNAcentral
AGAGUUUGAUCAUGGCUCAGAAUCAACGCUGGCGGCGCGCCUAACACAUGCAAGUCAAACGAGAAAGCGGGAGCAAUCUCGCAAGUAAAGUGGCGUACGGGUGAGUAACACGUGGAUUAUCUGCCCUGGAGUGGGGAAUAACGCUGGGAAACCGGCGCUAAUACCGCAUAUUCCCGAGAGGGGAAAGCAGCAAUGCGCUCGAGGAGGAGUCCGCGGCCGAUUAGCUAGUUGGCAGGGUAAAAGCCUACCAAGGCUGUGAUCGGUAGCCGGCCUGAGAGGGCACACGGCCACACUGGCACUGAAACACGGGCCAGACUCCUACGGGAGGCAGCAGUGGGGAAUCUUGCACAAUGGGGGAAACCCUGAUGCAGCGACGCCGCGUGAGCGAUGAAGCCCUUCGGGGUGUAAAGCUCUUUCGGCAGGGAAGAUUAUGACGGUACCUGCAGAAGCAGCUGCGGCUAACUACGUGCCAGCAGCCGCGGUAAUACGUAGGCAGCAAGCGUUGUUCGGAGUUACUGGGCGUAAAGGGUGUGUAGGUGGCCUGUUAAGUUCCGUGUGAAAUCUCCCGGCUCAACCGGGAGGGUGCGCGGAAAACUGGCGGGCUAGAGUACGGGAUGGGAGAGUAGAAUUCCUGGUGUAGCGGUGAAAUGCGUAGAUAUCAGGAGGAAUACCGGUGGUGUAGACGGCUCUCUGGACCGUAACUGACACUGAGACACGAAAGCGUGGGUAGCAAACAGGAUUAGAUACCCUAGUAGUCC